RNAcentral lists this unclassified non-coding RNA (242 nucleotides) under Hevea brasiliensis (rubber tree). Lineage: Eukaryota; Viridiplantae; Streptophyta; Magnoliopsida; Malpighiales; Euphorbiaceae. The record is from RNAcentral.
AACUUUCCCAUCAAUCAAACAACUCUUAAUUUUGUUCCAAUUCUUAGUAUUAUUCACCCUCUUCUGCAGCCAGUUUGAGUAAUCACCCAAUCUGUACUCCUUGUAUCGCCUUUCAGACACCACCUUUCCGGCCCCUUUGUUGGUAACUACAAAAGCAAAUAUUGUGAAGCAGAAGAGCAACACAAUCAGAAGGAACAUGACAAAGAGGUACAACCAGAGUAGCCACGACACGCGACAGCACG